CUGAUAAUAUUGAAUGUAACGAUUUUGUCCGUUUUAACCUGUGUAUGCAUAUUUAUGUAUAAUUAUAUGAUAUCAGUAGCAUAGAAAAUUGACAGAUUGGCAAUUCUAUUUACUUACUGCUUACAAAUCACGGACCGUUAAAACCAACAAAAGAUUGAUCAGUCGUAAAACAAGCCAUUAAAUAUUGAUAUGUGGGAAUUAGUUAGGAAGAAUCGGACUUUAGAGCAAAAGGCGAAUAAUUAUCAUGUAUUAUAUGAUACAAUAACGGAUUAAAGAACUGCAGAGAUGAUGUACACAUUACUUGGCUAAAAUGGGCGACACACCGUCACGACCGUCAAGUCGCCCGCAAUAUAUGAAUACAGUUCAGUAUCCAAGACAAGGACAAAGUGAACCGUAUAUGCACCAGUUGAACUAUCAGCCGGAAAUGGGCAGACCAGUCAGUACCGUCAAACCUGUUUACGCAGAAAUUUCAGACGACAAUAAAGAAGUGCAAUCUACGACCUCAGAUACUUUCCCACCAAAACCUUUGCCGCGAAAAUGAGAUGGAUGCGAAGUUUAAAUAGUUUAGAGUUUGAGGCUGGCGACAACAUGCCCAGCUGUAGCUCAGCUCUGUCUCAAGCAAGAUUUUAGUUACAUGAAACCUCAAUUACUUUUCCGUCAAAAACUUUGCCGAGAAACUGAUAUUAUAUAUGAAUGUAUAGAAUUUAGAUUAAAGUCGCUGGCGACAACAUACGUAUA
This is a long non-coding RNA of Mercenaria mercenaria, 738 nucleotides long. RefSeq lists it as uncharacterized. Lineage: Eukaryota; Metazoa; Mollusca; Bivalvia; Venerida; Veneridae. The transcript is spliced from 2 exons. The record is from RefSeq and is a predicted model, not a curated record.